GGAUUGUGACUCAGUGGUAGAGCACUUGCCUAGCACGUGUGAGGCACUGUGUUCAAUCCCCGGCACCA
This 68-nucleotide transfer RNA is filed under the name Marmota monax (woodchuck). RNAcentral's name for it is "tRNA.Ala". Lineage: Eukaryota; Metazoa; Chordata; Mammalia; Rodentia; Sciuridae. The record is from RNAcentral.